This 173-nucleotide non-coding RNA is filed under the name Pleurocapsa minor GSE-CHR-MK 17-07R. Its description in RNAcentral is "Pleurocapsa minor GSE-CHR-MK-17-07R (algae metagenome) 6S RNA". It matches the Rfam family "6S / SsrS RNA". Rfam says of the family: E. coli 6S RNA was the first non coding RNA to be sequenced, but its function was unknown until recently. Lineage: Bacteria; Bacillati; Cyanobacteriota; Cyanophyceae; Pleurocapsales; Pleurocapsaceae. RNAcentral also lists the same sequence under 1 other name. The record is from RNAcentral.
AGUGACCUGCUGUGCCCGUGAUUGUGCGACAACGUCCCGGGCCAACACCCGAAUUUCGGGAGCACCAAUGUAGCGGUAAGGUGAUAGGCCUGAGCCAAGACCCCAACGCCGAUAGAGUUCCCACCUACUUAUGUAGGUCCGAGACUCCGUGCACACGGCAUGGUGGGUAUUUU